AACGAACGCUGGCGGCAGGCCUAACACAUGCAAGUCGAGCGAACCCUUCGGGGUUAGCGGCGGACGGGUUAGUAACGCGUGGGAAUAUACCCUUUGGUACGGAAUAGCCUCGGGAAACUGAGAGUAAUACCGUAUGUGCCCUUCGGGGAAGAUUUAUCGCCAAAGGAUUAGCCCGCGUUGGAUUAGAUAGUUGGUGGGGUAAUGGCCUACCAAGUCUACGAUCCAUAGCUGGUUUGAGAGGAUGAUCAGCAACACUGGGACUGAGACACGGCCCAGACUCCUACGGGAGGCAGCAGUGGGGAAUCUUAGACAAUGGGCGCAAGCCUGAUCUAGCCAUGCCGCGUGGACGAUGAAGGCCUUAGGGUUGUAAAGUCCUUUCAGAUGGGAAGAUAUGACGGUGCCAUCAGAAGAAGCCCCGGCUAACUCCGUG
This 430-nucleotide ribosomal RNA is filed under the name uncultured bacterium. RNAcentral's name for it is "bacterial SSU rRNA". It matches the Rfam family "Bacterial small subunit ribosomal RNA", at positions 29 to 507 of the family's 1533-position model. The record is from RNAcentral.